RNAcentral lists this ribosomal RNA (148 nucleotides) under uncultured eukaryote. RNAcentral's name for it is "partial 18S ribosomal RNA". It matches the Rfam family "Eukaryotic small subunit ribosomal RNA", at positions 1299 to 1458 of the family's 1831-position model. The record is from RNAcentral.
UGGUGGAGUGAUUUGUCUGGUUAAUUCCGUUAACGAACGAGACCUCAGCCUGCUUUGUAGUCGGCCGUAUGCCUUUCGUGGGCGUACGCGUUCCAACUUCUUAGAGGGACUAUCGAUGCGCAGUCGAUGGAAGUUUGAGGCAAUAACA